UUAUUUCCCUUUCUCUUACCAUGUUCAAUUUGCUUCUUGUACGACCUUUCGGUUUUUUCAUUUUUUUUCUCGAAUGCAAAUUGCAAAGCAUUACUAGAACAAACAUAUAAUUUUGUUACUAGUUUAUCCUUGAGAUCAAACAAUUUUAAGUUGGAGUUGAGAGGUCCAAAUUGUCAAUUUGUGCUACUAUACCUUCACUCGAGAAAGUUAACAGCAAAUAAUUAUAUGUGCACUUUAUUUUGUAGAGAUUUCCCUCCCUCUUUUACCUCUUUGCUUUUGCUUUCUUCCUAAUCAUACUGGUCUUCCAUCACCACCACAACGACCAAACAACACAGUUCUCUCACAACCCUUCUUCCCCACUUCAACAACUUGCUGUCAACACAGAAGCACUGAAGACUGGGAGUUUCCUUCACGCCAGCCAUAACUCUCUGUUCAUGCAUUCCUGCAUCUGUGUGCGAGUCGGUGUCUUACUUCCCUGAUGCUGAAUGUACAGACAUUACUCUACACUUCAUAGAGAUGUGUUUGUCUUUGACACAAGCGAUAGCUGGGGAGGGGAGAUUUAAACAAGUAACCUCAGAUGCAAGGGUAAAUACUCUUGACCAACUGAGCUACGAGUGUCUUACCUGGAGAUGUGUUCAUCAGUUCAUGUCUUACUUCUAGGAAGGUAGGAUAUAACAAAAGAGAGUAGUGCACACCAAAACCAAAACUAUUUUCACUCAAAUUACAUAAAGUUUAGUUACAUCAGAAAUCAUGGGGGAAAUCAAACCAAAGAAGAAAAAAAAAUAUAAAUUUAUUCUAUACCCGUUUUCCACACCGGAAAAACGAUAAACAGGAAUCCAUUUGAACUGGUUAAUCCUCUCUCCUUUUGUUUCUUUCUUUUUCUUCGAAUUUCUCUCUGUUUUGUUUUGAUCAUAUACUCUAGCGGAAAAUAUCGGCGAGCUGCCUAUGUAUGCUUACAUUAGUCUCACACUCUGGAACUAGGGAUAUAGCAAGUUCUGUACAACUGUAAAAAUCAAG
Molecule: non-coding RNA, 1017 nt
Organism: Malus domestica (apple)
Lineage: Eukaryota; Viridiplantae; Streptophyta; Magnoliopsida; Rosales; Rosaceae
Source: RefSeq, a predicted model, not a curated record